AAAGGUGCAGCUCAGUGGCAGAGCACUUGCCUAGCAUGUGUGAGGCACUGGGUUCAAUCCUCAGCACCUCAU
This 72-nucleotide transfer RNA is filed under the name Marmota monax (woodchuck). RNAcentral describes it as "tRNA.Ala". The record is from RNAcentral. Lineage: Eukaryota; Metazoa; Chordata; Mammalia; Rodentia; Sciuridae.